Molecule: long non-coding RNA, 769 nt
Filed under: Citrus maxima (pomelo)
Lineage: Eukaryota; Viridiplantae; Streptophyta; Magnoliopsida; Sapindales; Rutaceae
Description: long non-coding RNA (CMAX_LNC000666)
Source: RNAcentral
AAAAAAAGAAAGAUGCACAUGAAUUUGCAGUGGAAAGUAUUAGAUCUACAAAUAGACAGCCAUUAACUCUAAAAUUUCCAAACAGAAGGAAAAUUGGGAAAUCUUUUUUGCCCAAAGCCCAAGAGGAAUUACAAAGUGCAACAAGAAAUUAUUAAAAAAAUUAAUAACAAGUAAAAUGAAAGCACGGUAAGUAAAUAUUUUACUUUUCUGAAGGCUAGUGUGGCAGCAACAAUGUCUGCGGCGGGAUUGAGGCUGAGGGAUGAACAGAGAAGCUAACAGAGGGAGUAAGAAAGAUGAAAUUAGGGUUUUUCGAAGCGUGCAGAACACAACAAAAUUGAUUAAAAACUCUGCAUUCAGGGAUGAAAGUGAAACAGUCUUUAGUUAGUCAAUGUCAGCGGCAGCCAACUGUUAAACAUUACCAGAUUCAUUAACCAGCUAAUGCUUGAGGGUAAAGUGAUAUUAUUUAAACUAUUGGGGCAAAUUUUAUAUUUGGUAAGUUAAAAGAAAAAAGGAGAAACACUUCUGAUGUUUUCAACUUUGAUAAGAACAGAAGAAAAAUUGCGAAAUCUUUUUACUCGAAGCCUAAAAGGAGGAAUUACAAAGUCCAAUACAAAAUCAUAAAAACAAUAAUAAACAAAUAAAAUGAAAGCAUGGUAACUAGAUAUUGUACCAUUCUGAAGGCUUUCGUUAUGGUUUUCUAUGAUGCUUUUGUUAAUUAGGGGCGGGCAAAUUGGGUUUCAGUUCGGGUUGUUUGAGUUUCGAUUUGGAU